This 328-nucleotide unclassified non-coding RNA is filed under the name soil metagenome. Its description in RNAcentral is "partial contains 5.8S ribosomal RNA, internal transcribed spacer 2, and large subunit ribosomal RNA". The stretch from base 1 to 119 matches the Rfam family "5.8S ribosomal RNA", at positions 35 to 154 of the family's 154-position model. The record is from RNAcentral.
GAUGAAGACGCAGCGAAAUGCGAUAAGUAAUGUGAAUUGCAGAAUUCAGUGAAUCAUCGAAUCUUUGAACGCACAUUGCGCCCCCUGGUAUUCCGGGGGGCAUGCCUGUCCGAGCGUCAUUACAACCCUCAAGCUCUGCUUGGUGUUGGGCCCCGCCGCCCCGGCGGGCCCUAAAGUCAGUGGCGGUGCCAUCCGGCUCCGAGCGUAGUAAUUCUUCUCGCUCUGGAGGUCCGGUUGUGUGCUUGCCAUCAACCCCCAAUUUUUUUCAGGUUGACCUCGGAUCAGGUAGGGAUACCCGCUGAACUUAAGCAUAUCAAUAAGCGGAGGA